GGGUUGUGAGGUUAAGCGACUAAGCGUACACGGUGGAUGCCCUGGCAGUCAGAGGCGAUGAAGGACGUGCUAAUCUGCGAAAAGCGUCGGUAAGGUGAUAUGAACCGUUAUAACCGGCGAUGUCCGAAUGGGGAAACCCAGUGGUUGUCCACACUAUCGUUAACUGAAUACAUAGGUUAACGAGGCGAACCGGGGGAACUGAAACAUCUAAGUACCCCGAGGAAAAGAAAUCAACCGAGAUUCCCCCAGUAGCGGCGAGCGAACGGGGAGCAGCCCAGAGUCUGAAUCAGCUUGUGUGUUAGUGGAACGGUCUGGAAAGUCCGACGGUACAGGGUGAUAGUCCCGUACACCAAAAUGCACAGGUUGUGAACUCGAAGAGUAGGGCGGGACACGUGGUAUCCUGUCUGAAUAUGGGGGGACCAUCCUCCAAGGCUAAAUACUCCUGACUGACCGAUAGUGAACCAGUACCGUGAGGGAAAGGCGAAAAGAACCCCGGCGAGGGGAGUGAAAAAGAACCUGAAACCGUGUACGUACAAGCAGUGGGAGCACCUUCGGGUGUGACUGCGUACCUUUUGUAUAAUGGGUCAGCGACUUAUAUUCUGUAGCAAGGUUAACCGUAUAGGGGAGCCGCAGGGAAACCGAGUCUUAACUGGGCGUUAAGUUGCAGGGUAUAGACCCGAAACCCGGUGAUCUAGCCAUGGGCAGGUUGAAGGUUGGGUAACACUAACUGGAGGACCGAACCGACUAAUGUUGAAAAAUUAGCGGAUGACUUGUGGCUGGGGGUGAAAGGCCAAUCAAACCGGGAGAUAGCUGGUUCUCCCCGAAAGCUAUUUAGGUAGCGCCUCGUGAACUCAUCUUCGGGGGUAGAGCACUGUUUCGGCUAGGGGGUCAUCCCGACUUACCAACCCGAUGCAAACUACGAAUACCGAAGAAUGUUAUCACGGGAGACACACGGCGGGUGCUAACGUCCGUCGUGAAGAGGGAAACAACCCAGACCGCCAGCUAAGGUCCCAAAGUCAUGGUUAAGUGGGAAACGAUGUGGGAAGGCACAGACAGCCAGGAUGUUGGCUUAGAAGCAGCCAUCAUUUAAAGAAAGCGUAAUAGCUCACUGGUCGAGUCGGCCUGCGCGGAAGAUGUAACGGGGCUAAACCAUGCACCGAAGCUGCGGCAGCGACACUAUGUGUUGUUGGGUAGGGGAGCGUUCUGUAAGCCUGCGAAGGUGACCUGUGAGGGUUGCUGGAGGUAUCAGAAGUGCGAAUGCUGACAUAAGUAACGAUAAAGCGGGUGAAAAGCCCGCUCGCCGGAAGACCAAGGGUUCCUGUCCAACGUUAAUCGGGGCAGGGUGAGUCGACCCCUAAGGCGAGGCCGAAAGGCGUAGUCGAUGGGAAACAGGUUAAUAUUCCUGUACUUGGUGUUACUGCGAAGGGGGGACGGAGAAGGCUAUGUUAGCCGGGCGACGGUUGUCCCGGUUUAAGCAUGUAGGCUGGUUGUCCAGGCAAAUCCGGAUAAUCAAGGCUGAGGUGUGAUGACGAGGCACUACGGUGCUGAAGUAACAAAUGCCCUGCUUCCAGGAAAAGCCUCUAAGCAUCAGGUAACAUCAAAUCGUACCCCAAACCGACACAGGUGGUCAGGUAGAGAAUACCAAGGCGCUUGAGAGAACUCGGGUGAAGGAACUAGGCAAAAUGGUGCCGUAACUUCGGGAGAAGGCACGCUGGUGUGUAGGUGAAGUCCCUGCGGAUGGAGCUGAGACCAGUCGAAGAUACCAGCUGGCUGCAACUGUUUAUUAAAAACACAGCACUGUGCAAACACGAAAGUGGACGUAUACGGUGUGACGCCUGCCCGGUGCCGGAAGGUUAAUUGAUGGGGUUAUCCGUAAGGAGAAGCUCUUGAUCGAAGCCCCGGUAAACGGCGGCCGUAACUAUAACGGUCCUAAGGUAGCGAAAUUCCUUGUCGGGUAAGUUCCGACCUGCACGAAUGGCGUAAUGAUGGCCAGGCUGUCUCCACCCGAGACUCAGUGAAAUUGAACUCGCUGUGAAGAUGCAGUGUACCCGCGGCAAGACGGAAAGACCCCGUGAACCUUUACUAUAGCUUGACACUGAACAUUGAGCCUUGAUGUGUAGGAUAGGUGGGAGGCUUUGAAGCGUGGACGCCAGUCUGCGUGGAGCCAACCUUGAAAUACCACCCUUUAAUGUUUGAUGUUCUAACGUUGGCCCCUUACCGGGGUUGCGGACAGUGUCUGGUGGGUAGUUUGACUGGGGCGGUCUCCUCCCAAAGCGUAACGGAGGAGCACGAAGGUUAGCUAAUCCUGGUCGGACAUCAGGAGGUUAGUGCAAUGGCAUAAGCUAGCUUGACUGCGAGCGUGACGGCGCGAGCAGGUGCGAAAGCAGGUCAUAGUGAUCCGGUGGUUCUGAAUGGAAGGGCCAUCGCUCAACGGAUAAAAGGUACUCCGGGGAUAACAGGCUGAUACCGCCCAAGAGUUCAUAUCGACGGCGGUGUUUGGCACCUCGAUGUCGGCUCAUCACAUCCUGGGGCUGAAGUAGGUCCCAAGGGUAUGGCUGUUCGCCAUUUAAAGUGGUACGCGAGCUGGGUUUAGAACGUCGUGAGACAGUUCGGUCCCUAUCUGCCGUGGGCGCUGGAGAAUUGAGGGGGGCUGCUCCUAGUACGAGAGGACCGGAGUGGACGCAUCACUGGUGUUCGGGUUGUCAUGCCAAUGGCACUGCCCGGUAGCUAAAUGCGGAAGAGAUAAGUGCUGAAAGCAUCUAAGCACGAAACUUGCCCCGAGAUGAGUUCUCCCUGAGACUUUAAGUCUCCUGAAGGAACGUU
RNAcentral lists this ribosomal RNA (2823 nucleotides) under Klebsiella pneumoniae. RNAcentral describes it as "partial 23S ribosomal RNA". It matches the Rfam family "Bacterial large subunit ribosomal RNA". The record is from RNAcentral. Lineage: Bacteria; Pseudomonadati; Pseudomonadota; Gammaproteobacteria; Enterobacterales; Enterobacteriaceae.